CUUGGUUAAACAAUUACCCUGAGGAUCAAAUAUUUUUGUGAUUUUGUUUUUCCAUCUACAUAUAAUAGUGAAAAGAUGAAAAUAACGAGUAUUCACAUCACCUUCUUGUAACUAGGUUUGCUUGGACUUUUGCUGCCAAAGAAGUUCUUGUCUGUUGAAAUUUGCAUUAUAAUCAGCUAACAAACUUAGCAUUCGAUUAUAAAGAUAAGGAGUA
Molecule: long non-coding RNA, 214 nt
Filed under: Elaeis guineensis (African oil palm)
Lineage: Eukaryota; Viridiplantae; Streptophyta; Magnoliopsida; Arecales; Arecaceae
Description: long non-coding RNA (EGUI_LNC013608)
Source: RNAcentral